This 546-nucleotide small RNA is filed under the name Pan troglodytes (chimpanzee). RNAcentral describes it as "processed transcript". Lineage: Eukaryota; Metazoa; Chordata; Mammalia; Primates; Hominidae. The record is from RNAcentral.
AUCCGCCCUGGCUCCGCUGCACGAGCUCCACGCCCGUACCCUGGCGUGACGCUCAGCCCGUGGUGCUCGCACACCUGAGACUCAUCUCGCUUCGACCCCGCCGCCGCCCGGCAUCCUGAGCACGGAGACAGUCUCCAGCUGCCGUUCAUGCUUCCUCCCCAGCCUUCCGCAGCCCACCAGGGAAGGGGCGGUAGGAGUGGCCUUUUACCAAAGGGGUGGCAGGACCCGCUCCCCCAGCCCAGCUGCUGGCCUAUGAGAGUAGGGAGUUUGAUGACAUCCUCCAGUGGGACUUCACUGAGGACUUCUUCAACCUGACGCUCAAGGAGCUGCACCUGCAGCGCUGGGUGGUGGCUGCCUGCCCCCAGGCCCAUUUCAUGCUAAAGGGAGAUGACGAUGUCUUUGUCCACGUCCCCAACGUGUUAGAGUUCCUGGAUGGCUGGGACCCGGCCCAGGACCUCCUGGUGGGAGAUGUCAUCCGCCAAGCCCUGCCCAACAGGAACACUAAGGUCAAAUACUUCAUCCCACCCUCAAUGUACAAAGCCACCC